Molecule: long non-coding RNA, 545 nt
Filed under: Elaeis guineensis (African oil palm)
Lineage: Eukaryota; Viridiplantae; Streptophyta; Magnoliopsida; Arecales; Arecaceae
Description: long non-coding RNA (EGUI_LNC051226)
Source: RNAcentral
ACCUAAUCUCUAUUUUUUUUUCUCAUGCCAUAUCUAGGUUAGCACCUUCAUUUUGGUUUAUUGGAUGGCCAAAAGUCACUGAUGGAUGGUGGAGAAAAAAUAUGCCAAGGAAAGCUUCGCCAUGCAUUGGAGGAACAUCGAGAAAAAUAUUUCGAAUAGUCUUUCUACGUGAAGCAUCUCUCAGAUUUUUUUUUGUUGCUUGCCAUAUGUCAAAUUCUUUCAGAUAGGCAUGAAAAUUUAACUGGGGGCAUAAGAAAUUUUGAGAAGGUGCGAGAUGGCAUAUGGAGAGGGCGCGAGUCAUUCCCGAAGGCAACCUAUCGCUAACUAUUUAAAGGGGCCUACACUGGGGAUUUGAUUCAUUCAAAAUUCUAAACCUAUCUCUUCUUUCUUAUACCCUCUCCUUAUUGUCCAAUUAGUCUCUUCCUUCUUUUGUUAGGAUAAGUCCAAAAAUAGUAAGGACAAAUCUAAUUUUAGGACAAGAGCCUAGGAAGAGAUUUAAGAAAGACAAGAAGAGAAGAAAGGUGGGGAUAGGAAGGCUAGGAGGA